This 496-nucleotide ribosomal RNA is filed under the name uncultured bacterium. Its description in RNAcentral is "partial 16S ribosomal RNA". It matches the Rfam family "Bacterial small subunit ribosomal RNA", at positions 28 to 506 of the family's 1533-position model. The record is from RNAcentral.
GAUGAACGCUGGCGGCGUGCCUAAUACAUGCAAGUCGAACGCAUAGCGAAAGGUGCUUGCACCUUUCAAGUGAGUGGCGAACGGGUGAGUAACACGUGGACAACCUGCCUCAAGGCUGGGGAUAACAUUUGGAAACAGAUGCUAAUACCGAAUAAAACUUAGUGUCGCAUGACACAAAGUUAAAAGGCGCUUCGGCGUCACCUAGAGAUGGAUCCGCGGUGCAUUAGUUAGUUGGUGGGGUAAAGGCCUACCAAGACAAUGAUGCAUAGCCGAGUUGAGAGGUGGACCGGCCAAAUUGGAACGGUACCACGGCCAAACCCCCAAGGGGGGGGUGCAGUAGGAAAUUUUCCAAAAGGGGGGAAAGCCUAAGGGGGCAACGCCGGGGGUUGAAGAAAGGCUUUGGGGUGGAAAAGCCCUUUUGUAUGGAAAAAAAGACUAAAAUAGAAAAUGAUUUUGUUUGGAGGGUACCAAACAAAAAAGGGACGGCAAAAUACUG